CCUACGGGUGGCAGCAGUGGGGAAUAUUGCACAAUGGGGGAAACCCUGAUGCAGCGACGCCGCGUGAGUGAAGAAGUAUUUCGGUAUGUAAAGCUCUGUCAGCAGGGAAGAAAAUGACGGUACCUGACCAAGAAGCCCCGGCUAACUACGUGCCAGCAGCCGCGGUAAUACGUAGGGGGCAAGCGUUAUCCGGAUUUACUGGGUGUAAAGGGGGCGUAGACGGCAGGGCAAGUCUGGAGUGAAAGGCGGGGGCGCAACCCCCGGACUGCUCUGGAAACUGCCAGGCUGGAGUGCAGGAGAGGUAAGUGGAAUUCCUAGUGUAGCGGUGAAAUGCGUAGAUAUUAGGAGGAACACCAGUGGCGAAGGCGGCUUACUGGACUGUAACUGACGUUGAGGCUCGAAAGCGUGGGGAGCAAACAGGAUUAGAUACCCCAGUAGUC
Molecule: ribosomal RNA, 440 nt
Filed under: uncultured bacterium
Lineage: Bacteria
Description: partial 16S ribosomal RNA
Rfam family: Bacterial small subunit ribosomal RNA
Source: RNAcentral